GUUAUUUUAUCAUUGUGGACAUACAGUAAAGAAAAUAACAAACAGACAUACAAAUGGGUCUAUAAUUCUUGCAGUAUUCUUUGUUUUUUCCUUCUUUGGGUAAGAUUGUUAUAAUAGCUUCUCCCCAUGAUGGUGGAGCUAUUCCCUGAUUCAGAGUCCAGUUGAAGCAAGAUAGAAGAAGUGGCUUGAGUUCUUCUUUGAAAACUUUGUAACUUUGUAGGUGUGAUCACAUUGAUGCCACAAUGGACGACUGAUCAAUGCUCCACUACCUUUUUUUUUUUUUUUUUACUUUGAUUUUUAUUAGGUUAUUUUAUCAUUGUGGACAUACAGUAAAGAAAAUAACAAACAGACAUACAUAUAAACAAACAGAGUCUGGAGUUUACAUAUCUUU
Molecule: long non-coding RNA, 391 nt
Organism: Astatotilapia calliptera (eastern happy)
Lineage: Eukaryota; Metazoa; Chordata; Actinopteri; Cichliformes; Cichlidae
Source: Ensembl